AAACAGCAGGCAUGAGUCAGUUUAUACAUUCAUCUGAUCACUAGAGGGAGUGGAGAAUCACUUCAGCUCAUUCAAACUGUGCUGUGAAACAAACCAUGAUCUCUUCAUCUUUAGUGUUGCUUCUGGCAGUGGUAUCCUGUAUUGAUUCAUAUGAAUUCACUCAGCCUGAGUCUCUGACUGUCCGUCCUGAUGCCACUCUGACUAUCAACUGUAAAGUCUCCUAUUCAGUUACAAGCUACGUUACAGCCUGGGUUCGUCAGCCUGCAGGAAAAGCUCUGGAGUGGAUUGGAGUGAUGUGGACUGAUGGAAGCUUAGCCUACAAGGAUUCCCUGAAGAACAGGUUCAGCAUCACCAGAGACACUUCCAGUGACACAGUAACACUGCAAGGAAAGAACAUGCAAGCUGAAGACACAGCUGUGUAUUAUUGUGCCAAACUCACUGUGUCAAACUAUUUCGACUACUGGGGGGCAGGAACCAAAGUCACCGUUUCCUCAGCUCAACCAUCUGCACCAAAGUCAAUCUUCGGCUUGUCUCAGUGUACUUCUGAUUCUGAUGGGUUCCUCACUAUCGGCUGCUUGGCAAGAGGUUUCUCACCUGCGGACUCGCUUACUUUCAAAUGGAAGGAUUCUGCUAAAAAAGAGUUGAGUGGUUUUGUGCAGUAUCCGGCGUUUGGACCCGAUGGAGAUUAUACCCAAAUCAGCCAUCUGCGCGUGAGGAAAAGUGAUUGGGAUCCUAAAAAUCCUUACACAUGCGAAGCUUCAAGUUUUGGAGUCACUAAAGAAACUCCUCUUGCUCCAUCACCCCCACCACCAGAUCAGCGUGCUGAUGUGUACUUAACAGUACCUACAAAACCGGAUUUAGACAAUGGAACUGCAACCUUCAUGUGUUUAGCCCAGCGGUUUUCACCUAAAACAUAUGCGUUUAAGUGGUUUCAGGAUGGUCAGGAGGUGACAGAUGAAAUAGACAAAUAUGAAAAAAGUGAGAAGAAAGGCUCAAUAACUGAAUACAGUGCCAUAAGCAUUUUGCAAAUCAGUGCCAACAAAUGGCAGCCAAACAGCAAAAUUAAGUGUGAGUUUGUGCACAAGGCAGGAAGUGAAGAUAUUGAGGCACAAUAUGCAGCUCCUAUUCAAGACUGCACCGAUAUUGCUGUUGAUAUAGUGCCUCCCUCCCUUGAAGACAUGCUGAAAAAUAGACAAGGAGUGCUGAAGUGCAAAGCUUCAGCAGACAAUCCAGGUUUCACCAAAAUAACAAUAGAAGCGAAUAAUAAUAUCAUCGCUGAAGCAACAGUAACGGAAAACUUAAAAGUUGUGGAACUUGACGCCCCGAUUGGCUAUGAGGAAUGGAGCAAUGGCACUGAAUUUGCAUGCACCGUUGAACACAAAGAACUAGCAGAGCCCAAGCGAACUAAGUUCAUCAGAGAAAAUGGUAAAGAACCCAAGAGACCCUCUGUUUACAUGUUAGCACCCCCAGAGCACAAAGAGGGUGACAACAUGACCCUGACAUGUUAUUUGAAGAACUUCUAUCCCAAAGAGGUGUUUGUGUCUUGGCUUGCUGAUGAUGAACCUGUGACUCUUGGGUACAGUUACAAUACUAGCCUGCCUGUUCAGAAUGAUAAAUACUUCUCCAUCUACAGUCAGCUAACAGUUAAUUAUUCAGAGUGGAAGAGCGGUACAGUGUUCAGUUGUGUCGUGUACCAUGAAAGCAUUGAUGAAAAAAUGCGCGUACUGACAAGAUCUAUUGAUGAUAAUAUUGAUAAGGCAGGUGUCAUUAAUCUAAGUAUGAAUACCCCUGCAUCUUGCAAGGAGUAGAGCAUUGUUUAUGUGGUGUCUUCCUGUUACGCUUGUUAAAUGUUCAUCUUGUGUUCUUUCCUUUUUUUCUUCCUGUUCUUGAGUUACAUGUCCAUGUUUGUAAUUGUGUUGGUCUUUAAUGUUUGUUGCUCCUUGCUUUCAUGCAUAUUACAUUUAGGAAAAGACUAAUAAAAAAGAAACAAAGCAUAA
This is a non-coding RNA of Carassius gibelio (silver crucian carp), 1997 nucleotides long. The record is from the annotation of a RefSeq genome assembly. NCBI's taxonomy places the organism in Eukaryota, Metazoa, Chordata, Actinopteri, Cypriniformes, Cyprinidae.